AAUCAACAUCAGCAGUGGCUUUUUCAAAGAAACGAAGGGAGAUCCAAGCAGACUAGAACGCUAAGGAUGAUAUAUGUUGAGUAUGUACUUGCCAUUUGGGGAGAACGAAACAACAACACUUUUGAGAACCUGGUGAAACAAUGGGAACCAAUUGGCAGAGAAAUCACGUACAUAUGUAACAUGAGGGCGGAAGAAAAUAUGAAGAUAUUGAUGCAAAGCCUCUUGUUGCCAGCUAAAUGUGUCUAGUUGUUACUCCAUAUUCUACUCUUCAACUCUUCAUGUAAUAGAAAGAAGUAUAAUGGUUGUGGUCGUAUAAAGCGAGACUAAUUUUGCAUAGCAGAUUGUGUUAGUCUGGCUAGUUUUGUAAUGCAUUCUUGAUAGUUAAUAAAGUUGUUAGUUACAAAAAAUAGCUUGCAAGACAUAAGAUAAUUGGUAAUAUCUUAUUAUGAGAACUUCAAUCAGUAAACUGUAUUUCAAAACAAACAAGCAACAGAGUACAGACAAUGAAAAACUAGCUCCAAUAUAUGACACUGCAGAGUUCCACUACUAUACAUGCCAUUCCUUCUAAACUUGUCAAUCAAAAUAUAAAGAAAAAAAAAAGCUUGCUAUUUCUUCUGAUUCCCUUAUUCUUCCUUAAUUAGUUAUUGUAUCAUCAGUUGCAUCUGACACUGUAUAAGGUCUAAGAUGAAUAUAUCUAAAUCAUCUGAAUUUUUUCCUUUAACUUUGACAACUAGAUGCGUGCAAAUUGACAAUUGAUGAGUGCCAAAGACACCAAUUGAUGAAUUUCAAACUGGAACGGGUAUCUUACCUUAUAACAAAGAAAUAGCAAGCCAAAAGUUCAAUUUCUAGCUCGAAUCACCGUCCUACCAACUUCCCCAAAGAAUUUGCACUACCAAAAAGAGGUUAUACAACUUCGCCAAACAAUUGCCAUCUCUAAAUCCAAUAAAUUCAAGGAACUUUGAAGCAACUUGAGUUUUUACAACCCAGACCAACCUCGGUACUACUUGAUUUGUGGAUAAAUCAAUCUCAAUGUCAUUCACUUCCUCAUUGAGAAUGGUUGCGGAAUCAAAGAUUUUGGUUGGCUUAGGAGCCUCUUCUUGAUCACAACAGAAUCUUUCUUGACCCAUUUAUCAUCUUACAAAACAUAUCCCAUGCUACCAAAGGAAUCAUCACUAUUCUUAUACACUCAAAUAUUAGCAUAAAAUACGAACAAGUUAUUCAUAGACCUCUAUUACAUAAAGUUUCAAUAGUAGACCAAGGUGUUGAGCCUAGAGAAAGGUACUUACCAGACAAUGGCUAUCCUUGAGUUGUCCCAGAUUGAUGAUUCGACCACCAACUUGUGAGCAUUUCUUAAGAGCAGGGUAUCUAUUCUUCUAUUCUACACUCUAGAAUAGGUGUAGAUCAACGAAAUUGAAAUCUGAGUCGUCACAAACUUCAUAUUUUUGGGAGAAGGGUUUUUGAUAGAUGGGUUUUUUGAGGGUUUUGGAGUUGCAUUUUGGGAUUCUUCUCAAUCGAAGCCCUACAAGACCUAGAGAGAGUGAGAGGAGAAAAUGAUUAUUGCGGCGGUAGUUGAAACGCUGUUCCCGAUGGUGGUCUCGUCGGUGACAAGCGGCCGUGGCAGCUACAUUUGAUUGUCCGCCGCCGGCGAUCAGUUCAUGGGGGGAGCGAGAAAGAGAGAGAAAGUGAAAGUGUAGGGAUUAGGGUUUUCUUUUUGGUUUAAAAGGAAAGAGGAAUAGGGUUUGA
Molecule: long non-coding RNA, 1743 nt
Filed under: Capsicum annuum
Lineage: Eukaryota; Viridiplantae; Streptophyta; Magnoliopsida; Solanales; Solanaceae
Description: long non-coding RNA (CANN_LNC011973)
Source: RNAcentral